RNAcentral lists this ribosomal RNA (253 nucleotides) under uncultured bacterium. RNAcentral's name for it is "partial 16S ribosomal RNA". It matches the Rfam family "Bacterial small subunit ribosomal RNA", at positions 524 to 776 of the family's 1533-position model. The record is from RNAcentral.
UACAGAGGGUGCGAGCGUUGUCCGGAAUCACUGGGCGUAAAGGGUGCGUAGGUGGGCAGGUAAGUCCGUGGUGAAAUCUCUGAGCUUAACUCAGAAACUGCCGUGGAUACUAUUUGUCUUGAAUAUUGUGGAGGUGAGCGGAAUAUGUCAUGUAGCGGUGAAAUGCUUAGAUAUGACAUAGAACACCAAUUGCGAAGGCAGCUCACUACACAAUUAUUGACGCUGAGGCACGAAAGCGUGGGGAUCAAACAGG